Molecule: ribosomal RNA, 384 nt
Filed under: uncultured bacterium
Lineage: Bacteria
Description: bacterial SSU rRNA
Rfam family: Bacterial small subunit ribosomal RNA
Source: RNAcentral
GACGAACGCUGGCGGCGUGCUUAACACAUGCAAGUCGAACGGUGAAGCCCUUCGGGUGGAUCAGUGGCGAACGGGUGAGUAACACGUGAGCAAUCUGCCCUUGACUCUGGGAUAACUCCAAGAAAUUGGGGCUAAUACCGGAUAUGACCGCUGAUCGCAUGGUCUGGUGGUGGAAAGAUUUAUCGGCUGGGGAUGGGCCCGCGGCCUAUCAGCUUGUUGGUGGGGUAGUGGCCUACCAAGGCGACGACGGGUAGCCGGCCUGAGAGGGUGACCGGCCACACUGGGACUGAGACACGGCCCAGACUCCUACGGGAGGCAGCAGUGGGGAAUAUUGCGCAAUGGGCGAAAGCCUGACGCAGCGACGCCGCGUGGGGAUGACGGCCU